AUGCAAAUGUAAGAAUAAGUCGGUUUCGACAAAUCUGUGGAAGGCUAAGUAAAAAAGGGAAAAAGAAAGAGGGGGAGAAAUUUGUGGAUAAUGAAAGGAAAUCUUUCAAUAAUACAAAAAGUGUAGCAAUGCAUAUAUGAAUGGACUUGCUACUGAUAAGAUGGGUAACCAUCGACCCCUCAUCUGACUCUUAUGUAUCAAUUAGACUUUAGGGUAAGGGCCUAAAGUGAUGAUAACGCAUACAGAGAAUUAGGGUUCGAUUCUGGAGAGGGAGCACGAGAGACGGCUACCACUUCUAAGGAAGGCAGCAGGCGCGCAAAUUGCCCAAUGUGGAAAUCACGAGGCAGCGAACAUCAAUAACAAUGAGAGACUGAAUAACAGUUUUUCAAUUGGAAUGAGAUAUGAGAAGAGAAAAAAGCGAGAAUCAAGUGGAGGGCAAGUCUGGUGCCAGCAGCCGCGGUAAUACCAGCUCCACAAGCGUAUGUUAAAGCUGCUGCAGUUAAAACGCUCGUAGUUGUGGUUUCGUUGGCGGGUGGGUCUGUGUCUCAAAAAGAUGCGGGUUCGCACGUCAAUUACAAACUAGUGUGCGUGUUAACUCACGCACACUUUGUAAACCUUGAAGAAAUAUUAACGCUCAAGAUUUGACUUAAGUCAAAGUUCUUUUUGCAUGGGAUUUUGAAAUACGAGUGGCGGAGUAAAAUCCGUUGCUAAUGACAUUUGAGGAUGAAAGAGGAAGUUAAUAUUUGCAAGUCAGAGGUGAAAUUCUUGGAUUUUGCAAAGAUUAACUAAUGCGAAGGCAU
Molecule: ribosomal RNA, 800 nt
Filed under: uncultured eukaryote
Lineage: Eukaryota
Description: bacterial SSU rRNA
Rfam family: Eukaryotic small subunit ribosomal RNA
Source: RNAcentral